AGAGUUUGAUCAUGGCUCAGAUUGAACGCUGGCGGCAUGCCUUACACAUGCAAGUCGAACGGUAACGCGGGGCAACCUGGCGACGAGUGGCGAACGGGUGAGUAAUAUAUCGGAACGUGCCCAGUAGUGGGGGAUAGCCCGGCGAAAGCCGGAUUAAUACCGCAUGAGACCUGAGGGUGAAAGCGGGGGAUCGCAAGACCUCGCGCUAUUGGAGCGGCCGAUAUCAGAUUAGCUAGUUGGUGGGGUAAAGGCCUACCAAGGCAACGAUCUGUAGUUGGUCUGAGAGGACGACCAGCCACACUGGGACUGAGACACGGCCCAGACUCCUACGGGAGGCAGCAGUGGGGAAUUUUGGACAAUGGGCGCAAGCCUGAUCCAGCAAUGCCGCGUGCAGGAAGAAGGCCUUCGGGUUGUAAACUGCUUUUGUCAGGGAAGAAAUCUUCUGGGUUAAUACCUCGGGAGGAUGACGGUACCUGAAGAAUAAGCACCGGCUAACUACGUGCCAGCAGCCGCGGUAAUACGUAGGGUGCGAGCGUUAAUCGGAAUUACUGGGCGUAAAGCGUGCGCAGGCGGCUUUGCAAGACAGAUGUGAAAUCCCCGGGCUCAACCUGGGAACUGCAUUUGUGACUGCAAGGCUAGAGUACGGCAGAGGGGGAUGGAAUUCCGCGUGUAGCAGUGAAAUGCGUAGAUAUGCGGAGGAACACCAAUGGCGAAGGCAAUCCCCUGGGCCUGUACUGACGCUCAUGCACGAAAGCGUGGGGAGCAAACAGGAUUAGAUA
This 779-nucleotide ribosomal RNA is filed under the name uncultured bacterium. Its description in RNAcentral is "bacterial SSU rRNA". It matches the Rfam family "Bacterial small subunit ribosomal RNA", at positions 8 to 784 of the family's 1533-position model. The record is from RNAcentral.